GGAGAUGACUACAGAUCUCAAAAGAAAACAUAUCCACGGGAGAGACUCAGCUAAAUUAGAAUUUAAUGCAGACCAUCUGGUUUUCCAACACACCGAAGAAAAAUAAAGGCAACUUUCUUUUUAGAGGAGCCCUUCACUCAGAAUAUUAAGAAGCUUCACAUCAUUGGUAAAAGCCCAGCAUCUUUCUUGAAACGAGUGAGAAAGGAGGAUGCCCAGGAGGAAGACAACCUGCCACACCCCAGCUUGUCUACUAGGCAGCACUGGUGGUGAAUGUUCCACUUCACAUACGGUCAGACCUCAGUUAUCAAAACCCCAUUAUGGGAAACUUUAGGUUUCCAGAGGUCAGAAAUAUCUUCUGUAUUUUGAAACCUGCACCAGCCAGCUUCCCAGGGGUUGCCCGCAGAGGAGAGAGACGCCAUUCCACAGCAAACAUGGAGCCCAUUCAGAUCACAGCGGCAGUUAUGAGCACUUUAAACACCACACGCAUUAUCCUGCAGCGUGUGCAGCACCAGAACCUGCAAAAGCAGGCGAGGAGGCGACGGCAGUGCGGUGACGAGAGUG
Trachemys scripta elegans is the source of this 561-nucleotide long non-coding RNA. RefSeq lists it as uncharacterized. NCBI's taxonomy places the organism in Eukaryota, Metazoa, Chordata, Testudines, Emydidae. The record is from RefSeq and is a predicted model, not a curated record. The transcript has 3 exons.